GGCUUUUUGAUAAUAAUUUAAGGUCUAGCCUGCCCAAUGAUGAAGUAUUAAAUGGCCGCGGUAUCUUGACCGUGCAAAGGUAGCAUAAUCAUUAGUUUUUUAAUUGGAAGCUUGUAUGAAAGGUUUAAUGAAAAAAUAGCUGUCUCUAUUUUAAUUUUUUAGAAAUUUAUUUUUAAGUUAAAAAGCUUAAAUGAGUAUUAAAGACGAGAAGACCCUAUAGAGUUUUAUAAUUUUAUGAAAUUAUUAUAUUUUGGGAUUUUUUAAUAAUUUUUUGAGAUUAUUUGGUUGGGGUGAUUGAAAAAUUGAUAAAACUUUUUUGUUAGGAUUUCAUUGAUUUGUGAGUUUUUGAUCUUUAUUAAAGGUUAAUAAAUAAAAUUACCUUAGGGAUAACAGCGUAAUUUUUUUUAGAGUUCUUAUCAAAAAAAAAGAUUGCGACCUCGAUGUUGGAUUAAAAUUAAUUAUUGGUGUAGAAGCUAAUAGGUUAGGUCUGUUCGACCUUUAAAUUUUUACAUGAUCUGAGUUUAAACCGGUGUGAG
RNAcentral lists this ribosomal RNA (536 nucleotides) under Echinodera roudieri. Its description in RNAcentral is "partial 16S ribosomal RNA". It matches the Rfam family "Bacterial large subunit ribosomal RNA", at positions 1819 to 2625 of the family's 2925-position model. Lineage: Eukaryota; Metazoa; Arthropoda; Insecta; Coleoptera; Curculionidae. The record is from RNAcentral.